This 285-nucleotide ribosomal RNA is filed under the name uncultured bacterium. Its description in RNAcentral is "partial 16S ribosomal RNA". It matches the Rfam family "Bacterial small subunit ribosomal RNA", at positions 373 to 659 of the family's 1533-position model. The record is from RNAcentral.
GGCCGAAGGCUGAAGCAGCAACGCCGCGUGGAGGAUGAAAUACUUUUGUAUGUAAACUCCUGUAAGAGGGGAAAAAUAUACAGUUUAUACUGUGUUGAUUGUACCCUCAGAGUAAGCACCGGCUAACUACGUGCCAGCAGCCGCGGUAAUACGUAGGGUGCUAGAGUUGUCCGGAUUUACUGGGUGUAAAGGGUGCUCAGGUGGGUUUGUAAGUCAGAGGUGAAAUCCCAAAGCUUAACUUUGGAGCUGCCUUUGAUACUGCAAGUCUGGAGUUUGGCAGAGGGA